AAGCCCUGGUAUAGUUCUGAAUUAGGGGAAAUAAAGGCAAGCCCAUUGAUCCCUUCCUUUUGGGAGCCAACAUACAGGUCAAAACAAAAAAAAUUGCAAUUCUUUAAAGAUAAGGUCUACUGUGCUUCCUCCAGUACUAGGUACCUGUACUGUGAAUGCCAGCUGUUGUCUCAAGGUCACCACGAAACCAGGAAUGGAAACAGGGACACAAUGGUUCCACCAGCCAUCUUGAGAAACACAGAUGAACCCAUGCUAAGAAUGGUGGUGCAGAUAGAAGAAGCCUGGUUCUCGUAACUUAGUGGUGCUACCACAUCAGCCUGUGAUGUUCCAUCUCUAAGCAUUUUUUAACAUAAGGUACUAAACAUUCUGUGUUUAAAAUAUUUUCAAGCCUUGGCAACAUAGUGAGAUCCAGUCUCUGCCAAAAAAUCGAGAAUUUGUGAAAUUUAGCUGGGCAUGGUGACCCAUGACUGUAGUCCCAACUACUCAGGAGGCUAAGGUGGGAGGAGUACUUGAGCCUGGGAGUUCAAGGCUGUAGUGAGCUGAGAUCACACUACUGCACUCCAGCCUUGGCAAGAGAGAAAUAUCCUGUCUCCAGUGUAUAUAUAUGUGUGUGUGUGUGUAUAUAUGUGUGUGUGUGUAUAUAUGUGUGUGUGUAUAUAUAUGUCUAUAUGUGUGUGUGUAUAUAUGUAUAUCUCCAAUCUAGUUUCUUUCUAUUGUAUGAGCCAAACUUAAUCCUCACUAAUACAAAUUAUUAAACAUACAAGCAGAGUAAAACACUUCAAUGUAUUUCUCCAACAAGAGGACAGAUGUUAUAGUCAAAAAAGUAAGUGAGAAUUUUGCGCAUCAAGAAACAUUAUCAGGAAAGAAAAAAGGAUGCCUACAAAAUGGGAAAAUAUAUUUGUAAAUUGUGUAUCUAAUAAGGGUCUAAUAUUAAGAAUAUAUAAAGAACUCUUGUAAGUCAACAAUGAACAUGCAAACAACCAAAUUUUUUUAAAAAUGGGCAAAUGAGUUAAGUAGAUAUUUCCCAAAAGUAGACACACAAAUGGCCAACAAGCACAUGAAAAUAUGCUCUAC
This 1074-nucleotide long non-coding RNA is filed under the name Papio anubis (olive baboon). Its description in RNAcentral is "lncRNA (ENSPANG00000037392.1)". Lineage: Eukaryota; Metazoa; Chordata; Mammalia; Primates; Cercopithecidae. The record is from RNAcentral.